AAUGAACGUUGGCGGCAUGGAUUAGGCAUGCAAGUCGCACGAGAACCCAAUUAGCUUGCUAUGAGGGGGACAGUGGCGCAAGGGAGAGUAACGCGUGGUUAUGUACCUUCGAGACCGGGAUAGUGUCGGGAAACUGGCAGUAAUACCGGAUAACAUCUUCGGAUCAAAUGGUGUGAUUCCGCUCGAAGAUCGGACCGCGUACUAUUAGCUUGUUGGUGGGGUAAUGGCCCACCAAGGCUGCGAUGGUUACCGGGUGUGAGAGCAUGGCCCGGCUCACUGGGACUGAGACACUGCCCAGACACCUACGGGUGGCUGCAGUCGAGAAUCUUCGGCAAUGGGCGAAAGCCUGACCGAGCGAUGCCGCGUGCGGGAUGAAGGCCCUCGGGUUGUAAACCGCUGUCAGUUGUUAGGAAAUCUAUAGGGGUUCUCUCCUAUGGUUGACCGAUCUUCAGAGGAAGGACGGGCUAAGUUCG
Molecule: ribosomal RNA, 473 nt
Filed under: uncultured Planctomycetaceae bacterium
Lineage: Bacteria; Pseudomonadati; Planctomycetota; Planctomycetia; Planctomycetales; Planctomycetaceae
Description: bacterial SSU rRNA
Rfam family: Bacterial small subunit ribosomal RNA
Source: RNAcentral